RNAcentral lists this ribosomal RNA (446 nucleotides) under uncultured bacterium. Its description in RNAcentral is "bacterial SSU rRNA". It matches the Rfam family "Bacterial small subunit ribosomal RNA", at positions 330 to 792 of the family's 1533-position model. The record is from RNAcentral.
UCCAGACUCCUACGGGAGGCAGCAGUAGGGAAUUUUGCGCAAUGGGGGAAACCCUGACGCAGCAACGCCGCGUGAUUGAUGAAGCCCUUCGGGGUGUAAAGAUCUGUCAGUGGGGACGAAACUUGACGGUACCCACAGAGGAAGCAUCGGCUAACUCCGUGCCAGCAGCCGCGGUAAUACGUAGGGGGCAAGCGUUAUCCGGAUUUACUGGGUGUAAAGGGAGCGUAGACGGCAAUACAAGUCGGAAGUGAAAUACCCGGGCUUAACCUGGGAACUGCUUUGGAAACUGUAUGGCUGGAGUGCUGGAGAGGUAAGCGGAAUUCCUAGUGUAGCGGUGAAAUGCGUAGAUAUUAGGAGGAACACCAGUGGCGAAGGCGGCUUACUGGACAGUAACUGACGUUGAGGCUCGAAAGCGUGGGGAGCAAACAGGAUUAGAUACCCGAGUA